Molecule: ribosomal RNA, 380 nt
Filed under: uncultured eukaryote
Lineage: Eukaryota
Description: partial 18S ribosomal RNA
Rfam family: Eukaryotic small subunit ribosomal RNA
Source: RNAcentral
CAAUAGCGUAUAUUAAAGUUGUUGCAGUUAAAAAGCUCGUAGUUGGAUUUGUGGCGUACGGUGUGUUCCGGGCACUUGUUGUCUGAGUAACCUGCUGUUGCCAUCCUUGGGUGGAACCUGUGUGGCAUUAGGUUGUCGUGCAGGGGAUGCCCAUCAUUUACUGUGAAAAAAUUAGAGUGUUCAAAGCAGGCUUAUGCCGUUGAAUAUAUUAGCAUGGAAUAAUGAGAUAGGACUUUUUUACUAUUUUGUUGGUUUGCGCAAAGAGGUAAUGAUUAAUAGGGACAGUUGGGGGUAUUCGUAUUCCAUAGUCAGAGGUGAAAUUCUUGGAUUUUUGGAAGACGAACUACUGCGAAAGCAUUUACCAAGGAUGUUUUCAUUAA